RNAcentral lists this ribosomal RNA (442 nucleotides) under uncultured bacterium. RNAcentral's name for it is "partial 16S ribosomal RNA". It matches the Rfam family "Bacterial small subunit ribosomal RNA", at positions 338 to 795 of the family's 1533-position model. The record is from RNAcentral.
CCUACGGGAGGCAGCAGUGGGGAAUAUUGGGCAAUGGGCGAAAGCCUGACCCAGCAACGCCGCGUGAAGGAAGAAGGCUUUCGGGUUGUAAACUUCUUUUGACAGGGAAGAGCAGAAGACGGUACCUGUCGAAUAAGCCACGGCUAACUACGUGCCAGCAGCCGCGGUAAUACGUAGGUGGCAAGCGUUGUCCGGAUUUACUGGGUGGAAAGGGCGUGUAGCCGGGCUGACAAGUCAGAUGUGAAAUCCGGGGGCUCAACCCCUGAACUGCAUUUGAAACUGUUGGUCUUGAGUAUCGGAGAGGCAGGCGGAAUUCCUAGUGUAGCGGUGAAAUGCGUAGAUAUUAGGAGGAACACCAGUGGCGAAGGCGGCCUGCUGGACGACAACUGACGGUGAGGCGCGAAAGCGUGGGGAGCAAACAGAAUUAGAUACCCCUGUAGUC